RNAcentral lists this ribosomal RNA (253 nucleotides) under uncultured bacterium. RNAcentral describes it as "partial 16S ribosomal RNA". It matches the Rfam family "Bacterial small subunit ribosomal RNA", at positions 524 to 776 of the family's 1533-position model. The record is from RNAcentral.
UACGGGGGGGGCAAGCGUUGUUCGGAAUUACUGGGCGUAAAGGGUGCGUAGGCGGUUCGCUAAGUUGGAUGUGAAAACUCUGGGCUUAACCCAGAGCCUGCAUCCAAUACUGACGAGCUAGAGUUCUGGAGGGGGUAGCGGAAUUCCUGGUGUAGCGGUGAAAUGCGUAGAUAUCAGGAGGAACACCUGCGGUGUAGACAGCUUUCUGGACCACUUCUGACGCUGAGACACGAAAGCGUGGGUAGCAAACAGG